UACGGGAGGCAGCAGUGGGGAAUAUUGCACAAUGGAGGAAACUCUGAUGCAGCGACGCCGCGUGAGGGAAGAAGGAUUUCGGAUUGUAAACCGCUUUUAUCAGGGAGGAUAAUGACGGUAGGUGAUGAAUAAGGACCGGCUAACUACGUGCCAGCAGCCGCGGUAAU
RNAcentral lists this ribosomal RNA (167 nucleotides) under uncultured rumen bacterium. Its description in RNAcentral is "partial 16S ribosomal RNA". It matches the Rfam family "Bacterial small subunit ribosomal RNA", at positions 340 to 524 of the family's 1533-position model. The record is from RNAcentral.